RNAcentral lists this unclassified non-coding RNA (209 nucleotides) under Hevea brasiliensis (rubber tree). Lineage: Eukaryota; Viridiplantae; Streptophyta; Magnoliopsida; Malpighiales; Euphorbiaceae. The record is from RNAcentral.
UGGCCUGUUGCUGCUUACAGAGAGCUUGUCAAUGGUGAACUCAUUGCCAAGGAUGUCUAAUUCUCCUCCUUCAGAGAUAGGGAAAGUGGAAGAGGGAUUGACUUUUGGAGGAUAUUGAGGAAUGGGAUGGGGUUUGUGAAAUAUUUGUGUAUUUAAUUUGGAAACUUGACAUGAGUAUAUGUAAUGGUUGGUUGUGCUGGAUACAAGGG